AGAGUUUGAUCAUGGCUCAGAUUGAACGCUGGCGGCGUGCCUAACACAUGCAAGUCGAGCGGUAACAGGUGUAGCAAUACAUGCUGACGAGCGGCGAACGGGUGAGUAAUGCUUCGGAAUCUACCUUAUGGUGGGGAAUAACUAGCCGAAAGGUUAGCUAAUACCGCAUACGUCCUACGGGAGAAAGCAGGGGAUCGUAAGACCUUGCGCCAAAAGAUGAGCCGAAGUCGGAUUAGCUAGUUGGUAGGGUAACGGCCUACCAAGGCGACGAUCCGUAGCUGGUCUGAGAGGACGACCAGCCACACUGGAACUGAGACACGGUCCAGACUCCUACGGGAGGCAGCAGUGGGGAAUAUUGGACAAUGGGGGAAACCCUGAUCCAGCGACGCCGCGUGUGUGAAGAAGGCCUGCGGGUUGUAAAGUACUUUUAGUGGGGAUGAAAUGUGCAGAGCUAAUAUCUCUGUACUUUGACCUAACCCACAGAAAAAGCACCGGCUAACUCUGUGCCAGCAGCCGCGGUAAUACAGAGGGUGCAAGCGUUAAUCGGAAUUACUGGGCGUAAAGCGUGCGUAGACGGUUACAUAAGUCGGGUGUGAAAGCCCCGGGCUCAACCUGGGAAUUGCAUUCGAGACUGCGUAGCUAGGGUGCGGAAGAGGGAAGCGGAAUUUCCGGUGUAGCGGUGAAAUGCGUAGAUAUCGGAAGGAACACCAGUGGCGAAAGCGGCUUCCUGGUCCAGCACCGACGUUCAGGCACGAAAGCGUGGGGAGCAAACAGGAUUAGAUACCCUAGUAGUCC
RNAcentral lists this ribosomal RNA (795 nucleotides) under uncultured bacterium. Its description in RNAcentral is "bacterial SSU rRNA". It matches the Rfam family "Bacterial small subunit ribosomal RNA", at positions 8 to 796 of the family's 1533-position model. The record is from RNAcentral.